UUUCCUAUUUACAUUUCAAAUGUUAUUCCCUUUCCUAGUUUCCAGGCCAUCAGCUCCCAACCUCUCCACCUCCCCUUCUAUGUGGGUGUUCCCCUUCCCAUCCAACCCCCAUUACUGCCCCCCCCCAACAAUUCUGUACUCUGGGGGUCCAGCCUUGGCAGGACCAAGGGCUUCCCCUUCUACUGGUACCCCAACAAGUCUAUUCACUAUGAAUUUGGAGCCCCGGGUCAGUCCAUGUAUAGUCUUUGGGUAGUGGUUUAGUCUCUGGAAGCUCUGGUUGCUUGGCAUUGUUGUACUUUUGGGGUCUCGAGCCCCUUCAAGCUCUUCCAGUUCUUUCUCUGAUUCCUUCAAUGGGGGUCCUAUUCUCAGUUCAGUGGUUUGCUGCCGGCAUUCACCUAUGUAUUUGACAUAUUCUGGCUGUGUCUCUCUGGAGAGAUCUACAUCCAGUUCCUGUUGGCCUGCGCUUGUUAGCUUCAUCCAUCUUAUCUAGUUUUGGUGGCUGUAUAUGUAUGGGACACAUGUGGGGCAGGCUCUAAAUGGCCGUUCCUUCAGUCUCUUUUCUAAACUUUGUCUCCCUAUCCCCUCCUAUAGGUAUUUUUGUUCCCCUUGAAAAGAAGGAGUGAAGCAUCCGCAUUUUGGUCG
Molecule: long non-coding RNA, 642 nt
Filed under: Rattus norvegicus (Norway rat)
Lineage: Eukaryota; Metazoa; Chordata; Mammalia; Rodentia; Muridae
Description: long non-coding RNA NONRATT026612
Source: RNAcentral